This 301-nucleotide ribosomal RNA is filed under the name uncultured bacterium. Its description in RNAcentral is "partial 16S ribosomal RNA". It matches the Rfam family "Bacterial small subunit ribosomal RNA", at positions 509 to 807 of the family's 1533-position model. The record is from RNAcentral.
CAGCCGCCGCGGUAAUACAGAGGGUGUAAGCGUUAAUCGGAUUUACUGGGCGUAAAGGGCGCGUAGGUGGUUAUUUAAGUGAGAUGUGAAAUCCCCGGGCUUAACCUGGGAACUGCAUCUUAUACUGGGUAACUGGAGUGCAAUAGAGGGUAGUGGAAUUUCCGGUGUAGCGGUGAAAUGCGUAGAUAUCGGAAGGAACACCAGUGGCGAAGGCGGCUACCUGGAUUGACACUGACACUGAGGCGCGAGAGCGUGGGGAGCAAACAGGAUUAGAUACCCGCGUAGUCCCUGUCUCUUAUAC